This 488-nucleotide ribosomal RNA is filed under the name uncultured fungus. RNAcentral describes it as "eukaryotic LSU rRNA". The stretch from base 68 to 221 matches the Rfam family "5.8S ribosomal RNA". Lineage: Eukaryota; Fungi. The record is from RNAcentral.
ACCAUUUUUUAACUCUAUAGGUUUAAGAAUGUAAAACAAGUCUCGAAAGAGCAACAUAACAAAACAAAACUUUCGGCAACGGAUCUCUUGGCUCUCGCAUCGAUGAAGAACGCAGCGAAAUGCGAUACGUAAUGUGAAUUGCAGAAUUCAGUGAAUCAUCGAAUCUUUGAACGCACCUUGCACUCUUUGGUAUUCCGAAGAGUAUGUCUGUUUGAGUGUCAUGAAACUCUCAACCCCCUCAUUUUGUAAUGAAGUGAGUCGUGGGCUUGGAUUAUGGCUGUCUGUCGGCUUCAUUGCCGGCUCAGCUGAAAUACACGAGUAACCCAGUUUGAAAAACUGACGGCUUGACUCGGCGUAAUAAUUAUUAUCGCUGAGGACGUCUAACCUUCAAAUCGUUAGUGGUGCUUCUAAUGCAAAUCAUUUUAAGAUUUAGACCUCAAAUCAGUCAGGAUUACCCGCUGAACUUAAGCAUAUCAAUAAGCGGAGGA